RNAcentral lists this long non-coding RNA (2489 nucleotides) under Homo sapiens (human). RNAcentral's name for it is "HSALNT0310421". Lineage: Eukaryota; Metazoa; Chordata; Mammalia; Primates; Hominidae. The record is from RNAcentral.
GACAGCCUGUCAGCGGCUGCUCUGGAGCCUGGGGCCUGCUCCGUGCGCCCUGUCUGCCCUCCGCGGGCCGUGCUGUCCAGGCUGGCCCGACAGCCUGACUCGAGACACCGGGAUGCCUGUCCACGCCUCCACUCCCGGGCCACUUCCCCGUGGGGCGGGCAGUGGGGCAGGGCGGGGUGGGAAUCUGCUGCAACCAGGGAAGGGAAUUGCCCCCCGGGCACAGAGAGUUUGGAGCCUGGGGUACUGUCACCAACAGCCCAGGACCCCGCAGCUGGGCCCUCCCCUAGAGUCUUCCUGCAGCAGGGCUCUCCUCCCGAAGGGCUGUGAAUGUUCCUCGGAGGUGGGGCUAAGCUAGAGCCCAGAGGUUUGCCCUGGGCACGGAUCCCCCAGGUCACUCGCCUCCCAUGGGCUGCAGUGAAGGAGGCUUUGAAGGGAGGAUGGCCGCCUCCUCCCCUGCAAGGAUAUGAGCCCCAGGGAAGGCAUUCCUGCUCUGGGGAUUGCCUCCCUCCCAGACAUCACAGCCAGCCCUUGCAGAAGCUUGGCCAAGCUGACCACUCUGUCAGUGAUCUCUGCAAGGGAAGCUGAAAGAACAUCCAGCCCCAAUUGUGUUCCCUUUCUGCCUCAGGCUAGGCCAUAUCUAGGCCUAUCAGGGAAGUUGGUCUCUUCAUGAGCCCCCCUGCACAGACGUCUAAAUGUCCAGAGUCCCAACAGAAUAACAAAGGGUUAAAAACCAUCUCCAUAUUGAAGCAGGCCGAGCUGAAGGCUGACUUCUAGGGUGCCCUAGAAUGGUGGAAGCUGCACACACCUGACACCACCUAGCAGAGUUGGCUUCCAGAGGAACCUUUCGGGGCCAUAGGCUUGCAGGCCUACCUGGCCAGGCAGAUGAUCCAAAUCUGCCUGAGAGGCAUGAGGUGAGGAGCUGGUGCUGGAGGGUAUGGUGGCCCUGCCAGGGAGCAUCUGUGGUUCCAGCGGCUGCAGCAAGCAGAAUGGAGGCCUGGGGCUGCAAGACGUUUUGAAGAGACACAGGAAUCAGCAUUUUUGUACAUGAUCUUGGGUGUGUGUGUGUGUGUGUGUGUGUGUGUGUGUGUGUGUUAAACACUGGAGUCAUAAAACUUCAGAUUAAAAGAAAAACUGCAGAACAUAAAACAAAACCCACCUGCAGCUCAGGGCUGGCCUGCAGGCCGCCUGUGACUGGUGCAAUUUCCCACCUGUGCUGCCCGUGACCAUGGUAAGUCUCCACUGCACACCCCACGGACACAGUCUCAGUCUGUGGCUGCAGCCCCGAGUGUCACAGAGGUCCCUCCCCAUUGCCAGGGCUGUCUGACCCUGAGUCUGUGAGCUCCUGUGGGACAGGCGUCAGCUUCUUGACCUGGUUUUCCUUCAUAACUGCUCUCUGAGGGUAGUGGCUGGCCAGAGAUCCUUUGCCGAAUGGAUCCUGGAAUCCAGCCCUGGUCCCUAGGCCUCUCCCCACUAGAGCUACUUGUCAUUGGCAGGCUGGCCACCAGGCCAUGCUCUUCUUCCCUUGACUUUCUGUCCCAGGCCUGGAAGGAAGCAUCCAGAAGACUCCUCCUAGCACCACAGGACCCAGAGAGCAAGACAACAGAGCAGCAGGGUCACACCCUGGCUUGCAGGGCCAGCUUCUGGCAACUGCCACAGGCCUGCCACACUCAGCCAUGAAGAAAGAAGGGAUUUCUUUUCCCACACAGAAACACCCCAAGCAGGAACAGAAACAGAUCUUUUGUGCCCACCAAUAUGUGUCUGUCUUGCCCAGCCUGUCAUUGUCCAGGGCUGUGGGUAGUGGAGGAGCCACUGGUUCUUGACUAGUUCUGCAGAAGCCCUGGGUCAAAGGCCUCCGCUGACAGCAUCCAGAAGUGUGUGCUUCUCCAUCCUGGCCACACUCUCAAAUCACUGGCGGAAAGGGCAUGGGAGAACACAGUGAGAAGACAGCAGUCUGAGAGCCCGGAAGAGCGCCCUCACCAGAAACCAAAUGUGUCAGCACCUUGCUCAGGGACUUCCAGCCUCCGGAACUGUGAGGAAACAAAAUGUCUGUUUUGGAGCCGCCCAGGCUGUGGGGUUUUGGUAAGGCAGCCUGAGCAGACUAAUGCAACAGCCUCAACAAAACUGCAAUCGAUGAGAAAAAAACAGUGGGCUUGAAGAAAAAAAUGAAUUCCAGUCAAAAUCUCAACAGUUUCAUUUGGGAGCUUCACUCCUCAGCCAGUGAGACCAGGAACCUACCAGAAGAAAGAAACUCCAAACGCAUCUGAAGGUCGGAAGGAGCAAACUCUGGACACGCUGCUUUUAAGAACUGUAACACCAUGAGGGUCUGCGGCUUCAUUCUUGAAACCAGUGAGAUCAAGAACCCACCAAUUACAAACACAACACCUCAACAACACCUCAUGAGCAGGCCCUUCCUGACGCCCUUGACUCCGGCCUGUCCUGAGGCAUGCAGAUGCCACUCACCUCCAAGUUCUCCAGAACCUCUGGGACAC